RNAcentral lists this ribosomal RNA (181 nucleotides) under uncultured Synechococcus sp. RNAcentral's name for it is "partial 23S ribosomal RNA". It matches the Rfam family "Bacterial large subunit ribosomal RNA", at positions 1 to 195 of the family's 2925-position model. The record is from RNAcentral. Lineage: Bacteria; Bacillati; Cyanobacteriota; Cyanophyceae; Synechococcales; Synechococcaceae.
GGUCAAGCUACAAAGGGCUCACGGCGGAUACCUUGGCACACAGAGGCGAUGAAGGACGUGGUUACCUGCGAUAAGUCUCGGGGAGCUGGAAACACGCUUUGAUCCGGGAAUUUCCGAAUGGGGCAACCCCUAGUACGGCCAGCUGAAUCCAUAGGCUGGCGCGAGCUAACCCAGCGAACUG